Molecule: long non-coding RNA, 392 nt
Filed under: Vigna radiata
Lineage: Eukaryota; Viridiplantae; Streptophyta; Magnoliopsida; Fabales; Fabaceae
Description: long non-coding RNA (VRAD_LNC013710)
Source: RNAcentral
AAGAGACUCACCAAAACCAAACAUAUAUUGUGAUACUUUCCUUCUCAUUUGUUCCUCUGAUCUGUGGCGAUGGCUAGCCUGAAGGUUGCAUGCAUGGUUGCGGUGGUGUUCAUGGUCGUGGUGAGUGCACAUAUGGCACAUGCGAUCACGUGCGGGCAAGUGGCCUCUUCUUUGGCUCCAUGCAUCUCCUACCUCCAAAAGGGCGGAGUUCCGUCGGCGUCGUGUUGCAGCGGAGUGAAGGCCCUGAACAGCGCCGCAAGUACCACCGCUGACCGCAAAACCGCGUGCAACUGUCUGAAAAACCUUGCCGGUCCAAAGUCGGGUAUCAACGAGGGCAACGCCGCUUCACUCCCAGGCAAAUGUAAAGUCAACGUGCCCUACAAGAUCAGCAC